UACGUAGGGUGCAAGCGUUGUCCGGAAUUAUUGGGCGUAAAGAGCUCGUAGGCGGUCUGUCGCGUCGAUCGUGAAAACUUGGGGCUUAACCCUGAGCUUGCGGUCGAUACGGGCAUGACUGGAGUUCGGCAGGGGAGACUGGAAUUCCUGGUGUAGCGGUGAAAUGCGUAGAUACUGGGAGGAACACCGGUGGCGAAGGCGGCUACCUGGACCGGUUCUGACGCUGAUGCGCGAAAGCGUGGGGAGCAAACAGG
This 254-nucleotide ribosomal RNA is filed under the name uncultured bacterium. RNAcentral's name for it is "partial 16S ribosomal RNA". It matches the Rfam family "Bacterial small subunit ribosomal RNA", at positions 524 to 776 of the family's 1533-position model. The record is from RNAcentral.